This is a long non-coding RNA of Brassica napus (rape), 1942 nucleotides long. RefSeq lists it as uncharacterized. The record is from RefSeq and is a predicted model, not a curated record. The transcript is spliced from 8 exons. Lineage: Eukaryota; Viridiplantae; Streptophyta; Magnoliopsida; Brassicales; Brassicaceae.
GCGUCUCUUGUAAAGGCUUACAUACAUUGCCUUGUCAUACACGCAAAUACCAUUUAAGUAAGAUUUAUAAAGUUUGAGCUGGAAGCACCCGUGGGUAUCUCCAUUGGCGUCUGGAAACACACCUGCAUAAAAAUCCUAAACCAACAACAAAGAUAACUGGGUCGGAAAUGGGGUCCAGCAAAAGUUGGCAUUAUGCAAUAGACCAAGAGAUGUUGAAUCGAUGAUUCGAGUAAACUUCAAGGAUGUGUUUGGAUGUCCAUUCUACAUUUUUUCUGAAGUUCUGACCAAGCAUUACGAUCCAGAAGCAGAUAUUUCGAGCGCAGGCGUGAUGGUUUAUGUUUUACUCUGGCUCAGCUCCGUUUUGGGAGGUAAGUUUCACAAAGUUUUAUAUGUCUUUGGAUGUUUCUCAUGUGUGUUACUAAUCUAAACAUAAACAGAAGAAGAAAUCUUUCAAUGUCAGGUUUGAUUUGAGUCUGCUGGUGCAUCAAGGUUUGUGAUUAGGGGUAGAGAUAUUAUGUCAAGACUGUAGCUAAAACUUUGACAGGAAAAGAACAGCUUUGGUGAAGAUGGCUAAAAUCUGAAAAGCUAUGACCUUAUGAUUGAGACUUGUAUGAACCGUCAUAACCCAGACAUGUAGAUGAGACUGAGAUACCCAAGGAAGAGUCUGAGGAGCAAGAGUAUUUUGAUCUCAGUAUCUGUGAUGAGGAGCGUGGGAAAGAUAUUUUCUGUAUACAUGUUAAUGACAAUACAUUUCAUUGGCUGUUUCUGAUUUGAAGUUCUUAUUUUCCUGAGAAUUGAUUUUUUUUAUUUGAUGUAUGCAGCAAAACAACAGUACAAAAUGGCAAAUUUAAACCCGAGGAUACUCAAAAGAUAGCUUCAUAUGAAACAUAUUUGGUGAGAAGUAGCACAAUUUCUCGGAGUUGGGAAGCUAGAACUCGGGUUUAAGAGCAUCUCCAAUGGAAGCUUGACGAUCAUCUACCAUCGUGCCAUAUUCAAAUGGAGUUACAAAACAGAGACGGAAAUUCGCAGAGAGUAUCUGUGGACAUCAUCAUGAGGUGGUAACGAUGAGAGAUCGGCCGGAGAAGAAAUAGCGAGAUUCAAAAUUGUCACGUCAGACAUUGAGGAAGAUAGAGUCGGUAACUUUGGCUGAGCUUAAUUCCUUUGUUUUGAACGCCUCCCCACAGAGUUUUCGCAUACUGCAAUGAGGCUUCUCCUCCUUCACUUGCGUUUCAUGUAAUGAGGAGAACACAGUUGGGGUUGUGAGUCUCCGAUGCAUCUGACUCAGCUGAGUUUGUAGCUUUUGAUACUGUAAUAAGUUAGUUGACAAAUACCAGGGCUGGAGAGGUCUCCCAACAAAUGAACACAGGGUUCCAAGACCCCUGGAGUUCGGCCCCUCUAUAAUGCAUCGAAAUUUUUUUGGGCCGCACCUUCACCUUCCAGUUGAAGGUUUCUCGAUUCAACUUCUCAUCCAAACAGCAGAGUUCAUUUACGAUUGUCACUAGCGCCCAGCCCAACCAAAUUUUGAGAACCAAGUGGCAAUGACAACCUGAUGAUUACAUGCCUGGUCGUGGAGCUGUGAAAAGAAGUUAUCCAUGUUAGAACAUGAGGGACUCAGACAUUAGAAGAAGCACUGCUGAUGGGAAUGGUGAUGGGCAAACAGCUGCUCUAAGUGAACCAAAUGAGUCACCUGUAGCUGACAAGAAUACAUGAGAGGAUGCAGCAGUUCUGGAGGAAGGGCGCUCCACAAAGAAGAAGAGAAACAAAGAGAUUAUUAACAAGUUUGAAGACUGAUUGACUACGAAGAUGCGCCAACAUGAACAUUGCAUUGAAGACUUAAAAAAAAAAAUCACUUUGUAGACAUUUUCCUUAAACCAUGUCAUUGUUUUUAAUAAGUUAAGUUUGUCCAGCUAAUCUAUGUCAAGAAAUAUUUUUUUUAAUACAA